CACACACCUGGACAGGUAGCGCGCCCACACACACACACACACCUGGACAGGUAGCGCGCCCACACACACACACACACACCUGGACAGGUAGCGCGCCCACACACACACACACACACCUGGACAGGUAGCGCGCCCACACACACACACACACCUGGACAGGUAGCACGCCCACACACACCUGGACAGGUAAGGUUUCAGAGUGUUUUUGUACCUCAAGUUCUUUAAUUUUCUCAUCAGCUGUUUUCUGUUUGUCUGUCAGCUGAUUGUUGAUUUCCUCCUUCGACUGAAGAAUGAACCUGAGACACACACACACACACACACACACACACCACCAGUGCAGUUUAUUAUCUAUCCAGGUGAACAAAAGUCUUGUUGUUGCCAUGGAAACUCACAUGCGUCCAACUCCCUCGUAGAGUCGCGUGUUGUCCGGCAGCACGCCGAUCUCUGCGUGAGUUAGCUUAGCAUGUUUCUGAACCCGAGUCAGCUGAUCGAUCUGCAGGUCGGCCAACUUCACCUUCUGCUGCGUGUCGAUCAUCUUCACCUGCAGCUCCGAGAACGCCUACAACAGAGAGGUAUCACUCUGAUUAAACACACCUGAACCAACAACAGAGAGGUAUCACUCUGAUUAAACACACCUGAACCAACAACAGAGAGGUAUCACUCUGAUUAAACACACCUGAACCAACAACAGAGAGGUAUCACUCUGAUUAAAUACACCUGAACCAACAACAGAGAGGUAUCACUCUGAUUAAAUACACCUGAACCAACAACAGAGAGGUAUCACUCUGAUUAAAUACACCUGAACCAACAACAGAGAGGUAUCACUCUGAUUAAACUCACCUGAACCAACAACAGAGAGGUAUCACUCUGAUUAAACUCACCUGAACCAACAACAGAGAGGUAUCACUCUGAUUAAACACACCUGAACCAACAACAGAGAGGUAUCACUCUGAUUAAACUCACCUGAACCAACAACAGAGAGGUAUCACUCUGAUUAAAUACACCUGAACCUCCUCCUCACUGAUUAAUCUUUCAUCGAUAUAUG
Molecule: long non-coding RNA, 1045 nt
Organism: Dicentrarchus labrax (European seabass)
Lineage: Eukaryota; Metazoa; Chordata; Actinopteri; Moronidae
Exons: 8
Source: RefSeq, a predicted model, not a curated record